RNAcentral lists this ribosomal RNA (372 nucleotides) under uncultured Spirochaetota bacterium. RNAcentral's name for it is "bacterial SSU rRNA". It matches the Rfam family "Bacterial small subunit ribosomal RNA", at positions 524 to 898 of the family's 1533-position model. The record is from RNAcentral. Lineage: Bacteria; Pseudomonadati; Spirochaetota.
CACGUAGGGGGCAAGCGUUGUUCGGAAUUACUGGGCGUAAAGGGCAUGUAGGCGGUUUUGUAAGCCUGGCGUGAAAUUCUGCAGCUUAACUGUAGGACUGCGCUGGGAACUGCGAGACUGGAGUCACGGAGAGGGAGCCAGAAUUCCAGGUGUAGGGGUGAAAUCUGUAGAUAUCUGGAAGAAUACCAAUGGCGAAGGCAGGCUUCUGGCCGAUGACUGACGCUGAGGUGCGAAAGCGUGGGUAGCAAACAGGAUUAGAUACCCUGGUAGUCCACGCGGUAAACGAUGCACACUAGGUGCCGGGGCGGACGCUUCGGUGCCGGAGCCAACGUGGUAAGUGUGCCGCCUGGGGAGUAUGCUCGCAAGGGUGAA